UAAAAUCUGAUAACUUUCGCCGGAGCUCCCUGAAUAUCCGUUUGAGAUUAAACUUGACAGUCAUGUUCGGUUUUACGUACUAAGUAAGAAUAUAUUUUAAAUUUUCAGUUUCGACCCCAUUUGGUCACCGAAAACUAUACCGAACUGUCAUCUUUAUCAGAUAAUUUUUGGAUUUUAUUUCUCACUCUACGGGUGUCAGUAAAAUAUGAAACUUUAAAUCUAGCCUCAUAAAAAUAUUUCUGACUUAUCCUCCAAUUUUCAUAAUUUUCUGAGACUGUGUAUUUUCUGCUAAUUUAUCUGUCCCGUUUCCAACAGAAAAUUCUACAUCUUCUGUUUUCAAUCCGAUUUCAGCACAAAUCAUUUCUGACUUAUGUUUUACUCCUCUAAAUCCAAUAAAAAUAGUAUCUCACACUAUUUUUAUUUAUUUUUAUUUUUUAAUACCAAAAUCUGGUAUGUUACAUUAAAUCUUAUCUGUCACGC
This 480-nucleotide long non-coding RNA is filed under the name Ananas comosus (pineapple). RNAcentral describes it as "long non-coding RNA (ACOM_LNC033190)". The record is from RNAcentral. Lineage: Eukaryota; Viridiplantae; Streptophyta; Magnoliopsida; Poales; Bromeliaceae.